Pseudophryne corroboree (corroboree frog) is the source of this 715-nucleotide long non-coding RNA. RefSeq lists it as uncharacterized. The record is from RefSeq and is a predicted model, not a curated record. Lineage: Eukaryota; Metazoa; Chordata; Amphibia; Anura; Myobatrachidae. The transcript has 4 exons.
GAAGUUCCCAUGAUGCGUAUGUCAUUAGACAAUCAGGGAUAUGGCACAGAUUAAGAUCAAGUCAACGAGCAGACAUGUGGUUAUUGGGAGACCGUGGAUAUCCUUGCACCCCCUGGCUCAUGACUCCUUACCGUAAUCCCAGGCCAGGACCACAGACGGCAUUUAACUCCGCGCUUACUGCCACUAGGCAGCUGGUGGAGCGCACAAUUGGGGUCCUUAAAGGGCGGUUUCGUGUGCUCCACCGCACUGGUGGCGACAUCAUGUAUUCGCCGGAGAUGGCAAGUAAACUAGUGGUUCUGUGCGCAAUACUACACAAUAUCGCGGUAAGGAGUAGCGUAGAGCUUCCUCAGACAGAGGAAUUGCCUGAUGAGGAGCCAGGGGUUGUUCGACACUUCGGUGGGGGGAGUGUUACACGGAGGGGGAGCCAAGUCAGGGCAAGCAUUGUUGCUGAAUAUUUCAGCUGAAUGAUCACACAAACUGUGGACGAGAACAACGGCAGACCUCUCAGCCCCCUUCCCCUUCCCAGUCCCCCUCCCCUUCUCACUCCCCCUCCCCUUCUCACUCCCCCUCCCCUUCGCAGUCCUCCUCAGCUUCCCAGUCCCCCUCAGCUACCCAGUCCCCCUCAGCUUCCCAGUCCCCCUCAGCUUCCCAGUCCCCCUCAGCUUCCCAGGCCCACUCCACUUUCCACUCCCCUUCUCACACCACCUCUCUAUCU